GACGAACGCUGGCGGCGUGCUUAACACAUGCAAGUCGAACGGAAAGGCCCUGCUUUUGUGGGGUGCUCGAGUGGCGAACGGGUGAGUAACACGUGAGUAACCUGCCCUUCACUUUGUGAUAACUUCAGGCAACUGGGUCUAAUACCGGAUAGGAUCUCCUGCUUCAUGGUGGGGGUUGGUAAGUUUCGGUGGUUGGGUAUGUACUCGCCGGUUAUCAGCUUGUUGGUGGGGUAGUGGCUUACCAAGGCUUGGAGGGGUAGCCGGCCUGUGAGGGGGACCGGCUACGUUGGGACGGAGAUACGGCACAGACUCCAACGGGAGGCAGGAGUGGGGAAUAGAGCAAAAUGGGAGGAAGCCUGAUGCAGCAAAGCCGCGUGCGGGAUGACGGCAUUCGGGUUGUAAACCGAUGUCGCCUGUGACGAAGCGUGAGUGACGGUAAUGGGUAAAGAAGCACCGGCUAACUACGUG
Molecule: ribosomal RNA, 468 nt
Filed under: uncultured bacterium
Lineage: Bacteria
Description: partial 16S ribosomal RNA
Rfam family: Bacterial small subunit ribosomal RNA
Source: RNAcentral